RNAcentral lists this ribosomal RNA (253 nucleotides) under uncultured bacterium. RNAcentral's name for it is "partial 16S ribosomal RNA". It matches the Rfam family "Bacterial small subunit ribosomal RNA", at positions 524 to 776 of the family's 1533-position model. The record is from RNAcentral.
UACGGGGGGGGCAAGCGUUGUUCGGAAUUACUGGGCGUAAAGGGCGCGUAGGCGGCCUGCUAAGUCGGAUGUGAAAUCCCUCGGCUCAACCAAGGAAGUGCAUCCGAAACUGCUAAGCUUGAGUACUUAAGAGGAUCGCGGAAUUCCCGGUGUAGAGGUGAAAUUCGUAGAUAUCGGGAGGAACACCAGUGGCGAAGGCGGCGAUCUGGGAAGAUACUGACGCUGAGGUGCGAAAGCGUGGGGAGCAAACAGG